AUUGAACGCUGGCGGCAUGCCUUACACAUGCAAGUCGAACGGCAGCACGGGUGCUUGCACCUGGUGGCGAGUGGCGAACGGGUGAGUAAUGUAUCGGAACGUGCCUUUUAGUGGGGGAUAACGUAGCGAAAGUUACGCUAAUACCGCAUAUUCUGUGAGCAGGAAAGCAGGGGAUCGCAAGACCUUGCGCUAAUUGAGCGGCCGAUAUCAGAUUAGCUAGUUGGUGGGGUAAUGGCCCACCAAGGCUACGAUCUGUAGCGGGUCUGAGAGGAUGCUCCGCCACACGAGGACUGAGACACGGCCCAGACUCCUACGGGAGGCAGCAGUGGGGAAUUUUGGACAAUGGGGGCAACCCUGAUCCAGCCAUGCCGCGUGAGUGAAGAAGGCCUUCGGGUUGUAAAGCUCUUUCGGACGGGAAGAAAUCGCAUCGGCUAAUACCUGGUGCGGAUGACGGUACCGUAAUAAGAAGCACCGGCUAACUACGUGCCAGCCGCCGCCGUAA
RNAcentral lists this ribosomal RNA (502 nucleotides) under uncultured bacterium. RNAcentral describes it as "partial 16S ribosomal RNA". It matches the Rfam family "Bacterial small subunit ribosomal RNA", at positions 30 to 523 of the family's 1533-position model. The record is from RNAcentral.